This 1158-nucleotide unclassified non-coding RNA is filed under the name Hevea brasiliensis (rubber tree). Lineage: Eukaryota; Viridiplantae; Streptophyta; Magnoliopsida; Malpighiales; Euphorbiaceae. The record is from RNAcentral.
GUUAUAGUUGCAACACACACCCUUCUUUUUUAAAUAGGACCGUUGAAUUUAAUGCAGCUGGUAAUUUGUUACAAUUAUGAAGUCUUGAGCACGUGAACAGAAAAGUUGAUGGGUCCUCGUCCGAUCGAUAAGCUUAUGUUUACAGGUUUGUACUGGCUUGUUACGUCGUCGAUUGGAAGAAAAUGGGUCCAGUCCCAUAUCGUGGACAAUUCUCCAUAAUAUGGUUGAUGGUGGACUGGUAUCAGACGUGCUUAAAUUUUGAACACAUCUUUUUGUCAAGGCUGAAUGAAUCUUUCUUCUUUUAGUAGUCUUGGGUCUUGUCUUGUUUCCAGUUUGAAUUGAAACCACGAUGAUGUUUGCUAAAUUUUACGCAUUAUUUGUUAACUUAAAAUUAUUUUAUUUUAUUUUUUUUAACCAUGAAAAAUCCACAGGUAUCACUUUAGCAGCUGCCACAAUAAAGUACAUAAGCUGUUCUUACAACUACAUGGAAUGCCGCUAUGCGUUUACAAACAUCUAAGGGGAGAUUUGAAGUGGCAGCAGUUCUCAGGUCCGGCGAAAUGCUUUGUGUUACAAGGCCUUUGAAUUUCUCAAUCAUCAGUUGAAAUAGACUGCAGCCACUAGAAAUACUUUGAGGUACAAGCCUUUGGGUUUCUAAAUCAUCUAUCAGCCAAAAUGCAAUCUGCUGGCUCUGCACAUAAGUUACAUUAUACUAUAACCAUGUACAUACCACAAUAACAUGAUGUCACCACAAUUAUUUUAUUUUUGUGUUAUAAAAAGUCUUAUUUAUUUUAGCUGAUAUCUAAUUGAUUUUCAGUUAUCAAGUCUCAUUGAGGAUAUGGCUAUGGUGCACUCAGCAGAAAGGAGGGCUGAGGAUGCGCGCUGUGAUUUUACAGGAGAGUUAGUUGAUCGUGAUAAAAGAAAAGUGAGAGGGUUGUGGGUACUACAAAGAGGCAUGGGGAGAGGAGGGUGAGUCAUGGGCCACAAUUAGGAGAAUUUAUACAUGUCAUUUCUGUUAUUUCACGAAGAAUAAUUUAUAUGAAAUGGUGAGUUAAGAUAUAAUCAAAAGAUUAUUAAGUAUACUUAACGUAUAUAUAUCAUCUUUUUUUAUUAUAUAAAUUCACUCUUCAUAUUAUAACAAGGGUCUUACUUUUUUGUGAG